Amphibalanus amphitrite is the source of this 1229-nucleotide RNA transcript. RefSeq lists it as uncharacterized. The record is from RefSeq and is a predicted model, not a curated record. The transcript has 2 exons. Lineage: Eukaryota; Metazoa; Arthropoda; Thecostraca; Balanomorpha; Balanidae.
CGUACAUCAACAGGCAAGCUGAGUUGAGCAUCGAAAAUGGUUGCGUUUUGUGGGGCAGUAGAGUAAUCAUACCGCCACAGGGUCGUCACGCUAUGUUGUGUCAGCUGCAUGAGGGUCAUUUUGGUGUGGCCCGCAUGCAAAGUUUUGGCAGGAUGCACUUCUGGUGGCCGGGCUUUGACCAGGACGUAGAGAGGAUGGCUGCAGGAUGCCGUAGCUGCCAACGCUGGAGGAAUGCGGCGCCUCCAACGCCUCUGCAUCCAUGGGAGUGGCCCCGCUCUCCCUGGCAACGGCUCCAUGUCGACUAUUGCGGACCUGUCAACGGGGUGAUGCUUCUUGUCAUCAUCGAUGCUCACAGUAAGUGGAUGGAUGUGCACAUGACCAGAACAUCCUCGGCUGAGGUUACCAUUGAAAGUUGAGGGAAACAUUUGCAUGUCACGGAGUUCCGGAGACUGUGGUCACAGACAAUGCCAGAUACUUUGUGUGUCCGGAGUUUAAAACGUUUUGUAAGCGAAAUGGAGUCAGACAUGUCACCUCUCCACCGUACUCGCCUCAUUCAAACGGUCUUGUGAAGAGAGCUGUGCAGACGCUGAAGCAGGGCCUACAACGUCAGUCUACAGGUAGCCUGAGUACUCGUCUGUCGAGGUUUUUGUUCCGCUACCGCAGUAUGCCCCACAGCGUGACGCAGCAGUCUCCCGCUGAGAUGCUCCUCGGCCGGCCAAUGCGGACUCAGCUGGACCUGCUGCGUGAAGACGCCAGACGGAGCGUGAUGGAGGCGUACCAGAGGAAGCAGAAGGCUCAGUAUGACGUGAGAGCACAGCCUCGCAUAUUCCAGACGUGUCGGUGCCGAACCACGAGUACCGGCGGACGAUGGUGCCAGAUGAGCCUCCGGACUCCUCUGCUCUGGACAGCGCCGCUCACGCCGUCGCCGGAGAAUCCAGAGACGCGACUGUGGGCGGUGCGGAGGCGUCAGAGACCGGCGCCCUCCCCUCUGAGAAGUGCGCGGACGUCGGACGACAUCCCUCGACGUCGUCGCCGUCUCCGCCGUCGCGGUUCGAGGCUGCGACCGCUUCUGCGCCGGUGCCGCGUCGUUCAGCGCGGGAGAGGCGUUGCCCAGUGCGAUUCCGGGCGGGGCAGUCUAAUCCUGUGGGGGAGGAGUGUGGUGACUUGAUUAAAUCAAAUGCGUGUGACAUGGAUCCGGCGGUAUCCGGCCCGGGCGGGGCGGCCGACCG